This 775-nucleotide ribosomal RNA is filed under the name uncultured Neocallimastigales. RNAcentral's name for it is "partial large subunit ribosomal RNA". It matches the Rfam family "Eukaryotic large subunit ribosomal RNA", at positions 19 to 646 of the family's 3401-position model. Lineage: Eukaryota; Fungi; Neocallimastigomycota; Neocallimastigomycetes; Neocallimastigales. The record is from RNAcentral.
CGAGCACGCGCGUGUGGCAUAUCAAUAAGCGGAGGAAAAGAAACUAACAAGGAUUCCCUUAGUAACGGCGAGUGAAGCGGGAAGAGCUCAAAUUUGAAAUCUUCAAGGUUCUACCUUGACGAAUUGUAGUUUAUAGAAGUGUUUUCUGUUAGUAGAGUGGCAAAAGUUCUUUGGAAUAGGACAUCAUAGAGGGUGAGAAUCCCGUAUUUGGUCAUUCCUCCUAGCUUUGUGAUACACUUUCAACGAGUCGGAUUGUUUGGGAAUGCAGUCCAAAAUGGGUGGUAAAUUUCAUCUAAAGCUAAAUAUGGCGAGAGACCGAUAGCGAACAAGUACCGUGAGGGAAAGAUGAAAAGAACUUUGAAAAGAGAGUUAAACAGCACGUGAAAUUGUCAAAAGGGAAGCGUUUGACACCAGUGUUGUUUUUCCGAAAAUCAAUUACGAAUGUUUUGUUUUUGAGGAGUUAUGACUUCAUCGGCUUGCUCCUUUCUUUACGAAACUUUCUUAAUGCACUUUUCGGUUAACAAGUCAACAUCAAUUUCUUUUGUUGUAAAAGGGUAUGAGGAAGGUGGCUUUCUUUUCGGAGAAAGUGUUUAUAGCCUUGUAGCCUCUGCAAUCGGAGAGAUUGAGGUCUGCAGCGUAGAUCCUUCGGGGUUAGAUACAGUUUGUGCUAAGUUAUAGCUUUUCAUAGACAACUUGUUGACUAUGUUUAGUCUUGUAGCUUACUCGCUGAUGCUAUUUUACCUACGCUUAGGAUGUUGAUGUGAUACUGCGAGCA